This 1459-nucleotide unclassified non-coding RNA is filed under the name uncultured Neocallimastigales. RNAcentral's name for it is "partial contains small subunit ribosomal RNA, internal transcribed spacer 1, 5.8S ribosomal RNA, internal transcribed spacer 2, and large subunit ribosomal RNA". The stretch from base 684 to 1459 matches the Rfam family "Eukaryotic large subunit ribosomal RNA", at positions 1 to 627 of the family's 3401-position model. Lineage: Eukaryota; Fungi; Neocallimastigomycota; Neocallimastigomycetes; Neocallimastigales. The record is from RNAcentral.
UGGAAGUAAAAGUCGUAACAAGGUUUCCGUAGGUGAACCUGCGGAAGGAUCAUUAAAAAAUAGGACUUCCAAUGGAGUUCAUUAAUAAUCCUACCCUUUGUGAAUUUGUUUGUUUGAAAUAAUUUUUUUUCAAAAAAAUUAUUGAAUGUCUUCCCUGUUUUUGGUUGAAGCGUAAAAGUGGAGACCAAGCAGGGGAAUGGCAAACAUUAAUUUUUUUGAAAAAAGACCUUUUUUUAAAAUUAAACUUUUUGUAUUCAUUUGUCUAAAAUUAUUUUUAUAAUAUAAAAACAACUUUUGACAAUGGAUCUCUUGGUUCUCGCAACGAUGAAGAACGCAGCAAAAUGCGAUAAGUAAUGUGAAUUGCAGAAUACGUGAAUCAUCGAAUCUUCGAACGCAUAUUGCACUUUUUAGUUUACUAAAAAAGUAUGUCUGUUUGAGUAUCAGUAAAAUAUUCUCAUAAAAACUUUUUUUGUUUUUCAUGGUUAUGAGUGUUUUACAACGAUAAACAAGUUGUUUCACUUUAAAUUCUUUGAAAUUUAAAAAAUCGUUAAAACUAAUUUUAAAAUGAUUUUUUAAAAUUGGAUAAAAUUUUCCCGUAAAAAAGGAAUAACCUAAACAAUUUUAAAAAAUUUAAAAUUGGUUGAUUUUUUUAAAUCCCAAAAGGAAAAAAGUAAAAAUUAACUUGAUCUCAAAUCAGAUAAGAGUACCCGCUGAACUUAAGCAUAUCAAUAAGCGGAGGAAAAGAAACUAACUAGGAUUCCCUCAGUAACGGCGAGUGAAGCGGAAGAGCUCAAAUUUGAAAUCUUCAAGGUUCUACCUUGACGAAUUGUAGUUUAAAGAAGUGUUUUCUGUUGGAAUAGUUUGGUAUAAGUUCUUGGAAUAGGACAUCAUGGAGGGUGAGAAUCCCGUAACGACCAUUUAUUCCAGCUCUGUGAUACACUUUCAAAGAGUCGGGUUGUUUGGGAAUGCAGUCCAAAAUGGGUGGUAAAUUUCAUCUAAAGCUAAAUAUUGGCGAGAGACCGAUAGCGAACAAGUACCGUGAGGGAAAGAUGAAAAGAACUUUGAAAAGAGAGUUAAACAGUACGUGAAAUUGUCAAAAGGGAAGCGUUUGACACCAGUGUUGUUUUCUCGAAAAUCAAUUAAAAAUGGCUUGAUUUUGUGUAAGGCGACCUUAUCAGCGUUUUGCACUCUUUUCUUGUCCUUUUUUAAUGCACUUUUUGUUUAACAAGUCAACAUCAAUUUCUUUUGUUGUAAAAGAGUCAUUGGAAGGUGGCUUUCUUUUCGGAGAAAGUGUUUAUAGCCUUUGGCUUCUGCAAUCGGAGAGAUUGAGGUCUGCAGCGUAGAUCCUUCGGGGUUAGAUGCAUUAGUGCUAAGUUAUAGCCUUUCAUAGACAACUUGUUGACUAUGAUCAGUCAUGUAGCUUACUCGCUGAUGUUAUUUUACCUACGCUUAGGAUGUU